GUGGAUUAGAUACCCUGGUAGUCCACACCAUAAACGAUGGUCACUAGUUGUCGGGGGAUUCGACCCCCUCGGCAACGACGCUAACGCAUUAAGUGACCCACCUGGGGAGUACGCUCGCAAGGGUGAAACUCAAAGGAAUUGACGGGGGCCCGCACAAGCGGUGGAGCAUGUGGUUUAAUUCGAUGCAACGCGAAGAACCUUACCUGGGCUCGAAGUGCUCUGUAAACUCAUGAAAGUGGGGUAUCCCUUCGGGGAGCGGAGCAUAGGUGCUGCACGGCUGUCGCCAACU
RNAcentral lists this ribosomal RNA (289 nucleotides) under uncultured bacterium. Its description in RNAcentral is "partial 16S ribosomal RNA". It matches the Rfam family "Bacterial small subunit ribosomal RNA", at positions 773 to 1060 of the family's 1533-position model. The record is from RNAcentral.